UGAAAUUGUAAAUGAAUUAUUUAUAUAAAAUAAUAAUUAAUUAAGAAAACUUUAUUAUCGCAUUAUUAAAUUUUUUUUUACUUUUUGUGCAGAAAUAUGCGAAUGGACUAUAUUGGAGCAAGCCAAGUACUAAAAUAUCUUCUAUUGGAAUGUCGGUAUUUUUGUUGAAAAAAUAUUAGUGACCAUGUAUUAGAAUGAUUAAUCAAGAGUUGAAUAUUUUAACUGUUUUAAAAUGAUACUUAGUUGGCUAUAUUUUGUUUAUUUGGAUUUGUAAAGAUAUUUUGAAUGAGAAAUACAUUUUUUUUUGUUUGUUUAUUUAUGUAUGAUGUUUGAUGAUAAUUUGAGUUGUUAAAUAUAAAAAAAUGUCAUAUAAAUAGUGGAUGGAUAUUGCUGCAGGAUUGAUUGCUGAAACUGCGACCAAAUUGUUCAUUGCUAAUAUAUAAUUGGUAGUAUAUAUUGACAGAUAAAUUUGCGACUAUAUUAUUGGUCGAAAAAUAUUUGUUGAACUAGUUAACUUGUAAUUAAAAUUGCGACAAACUAUUAUCGUCGCCAUAGUAUCAUAAAAAAAUAAAAUAAAAUAAUUAAAAAAUAAUGGCUUUUACUGACGAAACGAUAUUGUUGCAAUUAGGUUAUAUUUAGUUACGAAAAAUAUUAUUCAGAUGUAUAUUUAGCAACAAAUAAUUGGG
RNAcentral lists this long non-coding RNA (686 nucleotides) under Ananas comosus (pineapple). RNAcentral describes it as "long non-coding RNA (ACOM_LNC024494)". The record is from RNAcentral. Lineage: Eukaryota; Viridiplantae; Streptophyta; Magnoliopsida; Poales; Bromeliaceae.